CGACGCCGCGUGCGGGAUGACGGCCUUCGGGUUGUAAACCGCUUUUGAUCGGGAGCAAGCCUUCGGGUGAGUGUACCUUUCGAAUAAGCACCGGCUAACUACGUGCCAGCAGCCGCGGUAAUACGUAGGGUGCAAGCGUUAUCCGGAAUUAUUGGGCGUAAAGGGCUCGUAGGCGGUUCGUCGCGUCCGGUGUGAAAGUCCAUCGCUUAACGGUGGAUCUGCGCCGGGUACGGGCGGGCUGGAGUGCGGUAGGGGAGACUGGAAUUCCCGGUGUAACGGUGGAAUGUGUAGAUAUCGGGAAGAACACCAAUGGCGAAGGCAGGUCUCUGGGCCGUUACUGACGCUGAGGAGCGAAAGCGUGGGGAGCGAACAGGAUUAGAUACCCUGGUAGUCCACGCCGUAAACGGUGGAUGCUGGAUGUGGGGCCCGUUCCACGGGUUCCGUGUCGGAGCUAACGCGUUAAGCAUCCCGCCUGGGGAGUACGGCCGCAAGGCUAAAACUCAAAGAAAUUGACGGGGGCCCGCACAAGCGGCGGAGCAUGCGGAUUAAUUCGAUGCAACGCGAAGAACCUUACCUGGGCUUGACAUGUUCCCGACCGCUCCAGAGAUGGGGCUUCCCUUCGGGGCGGGUUCACAGGUGGUGCAUGGUCGUCGUCAGCUCGUGUCGUGAGAUGUUGGGUUAAGUCCCGCAACGAGCGCAACCCUCGCCCUGUGUUGCCAGCACGUCAUGGUGGGAACUCACGGGGGACCGCCGGGGUCAACUCGGAGGAAGGUGGGGAUGACGUCAGAUCAUCAUGCCCCUUACGUCCAGGGCUUCACGCAUGCUACAAUGGCCGGUACAACGGGAUGCGACACGGCGACGUGGAGCGGAUCCCUGAAAACCGGUCUCAGUUCGGAUUGGAGUCUGCAACCCGACUCCAUGAAGGCGGAGUCGCUAGUAAUCGCGGAUCAGCAACGCCGCGGUGAAUGCGUUCCCGGGCCUUGUACACACCGCCCGUCAAGUCAUGAAAGUGGGUAGCACCCGAAGCCGGUGGCCUAACCCUUUGUGGAUGGAGCCGUCUAAGGUGAGACUCGUGA
This 1076-nucleotide ribosomal RNA is filed under the name Bifidobacterium pseudocatenulatum. RNAcentral describes it as "bacterial SSU rRNA". It matches the Rfam family "Bacterial small subunit ribosomal RNA", at positions 392 to 1474 of the family's 1533-position model. Lineage: Bacteria; Bacillati; Actinomycetota; Actinomycetes; Bifidobacteriales; Bifidobacteriaceae. The record is from RNAcentral.